CACACCGCCCGUCACACCAUGGGAGUGGGCUGCACCAGAAGUCGGUUGCUUAACGAAAGAGGGCGCUGACCACGGUGUGGUUCAUGACUGGGGUG
Molecule: ribosomal RNA, 95 nt
Filed under: uncultured bacterium
Lineage: Bacteria
Description: partial 16S ribosomal RNA
Rfam family: Bacterial small subunit ribosomal RNA
Source: RNAcentral